RNAcentral lists this ribosomal RNA (499 nucleotides) under Enterococcus faecalis. RNAcentral's name for it is "bacterial SSU rRNA". It matches the Rfam family "Bacterial small subunit ribosomal RNA", at positions 897 to 1397 of the family's 1533-position model. Lineage: Bacteria; Bacillati; Bacillota; Bacilli; Lactobacillales; Enterococcaceae. The record is from RNAcentral.
AAACUCAAAGGAAUUGACGGGGGCCCGACAAGCGGUGGAGCAUGUGGUUUAAUUCGAAGCAACGCGAAGAACCUUACCAGGUCUUGACAUCCUUUGACCACUCUAGAGAUAGCAGCUUUCCCUUUGGGGACAAAGUGACAGGUGGUGCAUGGUUGUCGUCAGCUCGUGUCGUGAGAUGUUGUGUUAAGUCCCGCAACGAGCGCAACCCUUAUUGUUAGUUGCCAUCAUUUAGUUGGGCACUCUAGCGAGACUGCCGGUGACAAACCGGAGGAAGGUGGGGAUGACGUCAAAUCAUCAUGCCCCUUAUGACCUGGGCUACACACGUGCUACAAUGGGAAGUACAACGAGUCGCUAGACCGCGAGGUCAUGCAAAUCUCUUAAAGCUUCUCUCAGUUCGGAUUGCAGGCUGCAACUCGCCUGCAUGAAGCCGGAAUCGCUAGUAAUCGCGGAUCAUCACGCCGCGGUGAAUACGUUCCCGGGCCUUGUACACACCGCCCGU